RNAcentral lists this long non-coding RNA (2621 nucleotides) under Equus caballus (horse). RNAcentral's name for it is "lncRNA (ENSECAG00000058261.1)". The record is from RNAcentral. Lineage: Eukaryota; Metazoa; Chordata; Mammalia; Perissodactyla; Equidae.
GGGAGGGGCACACCGCGUGAGGAUCCUCGUCUCCCACGUUAACCCCUGGGAGCAUCCGGUGCACAGGGACACUAAACAACCAGGUGGACGGGAUGACCCUGCCAGCCUUUGUCCUGGGCGGCCACCGCACUUGGGCCACAGGCUCAUGAAGUGGAACAGUUACGGUGGCAGAGCUGGACGCCACUCCUGGGCCCGAGAGAAGGUGUUUCUACUCAUCGAGGCUGCUGUGGUUGCUGCACCUCUGCGUGUCUGACCUGUCAGCUACUGAGGCCGACUCUAAGCUCCCGAGAUGGUACCAUCCCCUUGAGGCGGCCAACCAGCCAGGCACUUGGUGGCAAGUUAAUUUCAUUGGACCCCCUUCCAUCUUGGAAAAGGCAGGGACGUGGUAAGGGUUCCACCCAACUUCAAGCUGCCGUUCUGCCUGUCUCUCUGGGCCCCCGUGCCAGUGGCGCAGCAGGCACAGAAAGGCGACUCCAUGCGGGCAGGAUGCGAGGUCCCGGCCAUCAUGAGGAACCAGUGCUGCUGGAUGGUGGGGACAGGGAGGGUGUGACGGGCACUCAGGUGUCCACCCAGCGAUUGUGACCAAGUGUGCUGGAGAAGAUGUGCCUGGAUGGAGGAGUGGAUGCACGAAGCAGGUGCGCCUGAGUGAUGGAAGGGGUGAGCUGCAGUCGAUGCCCCAUCCAGAUCCUGGUCCCCGGCCGGCGCACACGUCCGUCGGCAGCAGCGAGAGCGGCUGCUAGUGGCUCAUUGCUUCCCCUCCUCUCUGCACAGCUGACCUCAGCUAACGGCGCUGCCCGCCCUGGGAAGUUCUGCUCCGUCCCUGCCCCGUGGCGGCCCACAGCCAUGGCUGGUUAAAAAAGGGUUCCAGGGGCCAGCCCCAUUGCUCCAGCUUGGCAUAACUCGGUAGUGCCCGUUUUCUCUGGAACCUCUCCCUUGGGUCAGAGCCAGGCUGCCCUUAGCCGGACCCACACACCCUGCUCUGCCCUGUCCCCUGCCCUCACUCCCCUCGGCUUUCGUGUGGCUUGCUCCCUGAUAAGUUACUGUCCUCCGCUCUCUGCCUCAGUCUUAUCUGGUAUGGGGUUUCCUUUUGGGUAAUGAUGGAAAGUCACAUUAUUAUCUGGUCUUGGGGGGAAUAAUUACCUAAGCAAGACUGUCCUUGGAUCUAGAAGUGGGGAGAUUGGUUACUUUAUCUAAGAGCCACAGCCCCGCCUGAGAUGUUUAUCUCAGGGGGCAGAGAGAAAGGAGCCGACAGAGGCUGUGCUCCUGCGUCUUGUGCUCCGCGGCGGCGACACGGGGGUAUUGAUCUCCUUCUGGAACCCUCCAUGCAGUUUCCGUGACUGCCUCUUUCUCCUCAUUAAUGUAACACCUACUUUCUUUCUUGUGCCCACUACCCUCUAAAUGUCUCCCCACUUUCUAAACCCCGGGUUUCUCUGCAAGUUUCCCUUCCUUGAUGACAAGUGUGACUUCUGGAGAAGAUUCACCUUCUGGGAAUCCAGGGGUUUCUCCCGGCCCACGUGGACGGGGAGACGGGAUACAGAGUGUUGGGAGGUGAGAAGCAAGAAGGAACGUUCUGGAAACAUUAUCACCGCUCAGCCCUCAGUCCGACCCGCCUUCCCCAGGAGGCCCUGAGCUCUCCUCACGGGCUCCUGCUUCAUCUUCUGUAUUUUCUCCUUAACACCUAAGACUUGACGUGAUCUCCGGUCUGUGCCUGUUUGUUUAUUAGCUGUUUCUUCCACUGGAAGUCGGCCCCAGUAUUCACUGAGCAAACGGACAACCCUUCCUGGGUCAAUACAUGUUAUCUGCCCCUUGCCUUUAAAAAAACAUGGGGUAAAAUAGCCAUGACAUAAAAUUUACCAUUUUGACCACUUUUAAGCAUACUGUUCGGUGGCAUUAAGCACAUUCAUGUUGUCGUGCAACCGUGACCACCGUCCACGUCCAGAGCGUUUCCGUCUUCCCCAGCUGAAGCUCUGGCCCCGUUAAACACUGACUCCCCAUCCCACUCCCUCCACCCCUGGCACCCGCCCCUGUUCUGCUUUCUGUCCCUAGGCACUUGACCCCUCUGGGGGCCUCGUGGAAGAGGAAUCAUACCGCACUUGUCUGUGUCUGGCUUCUUUCACUUAGCAGAAUGUCUUUCAGGUCACUCAAUGUGACACGUGUCAGAAUUUCCUCCCUUUUUUAAGGCUGAAUAAUAUUCCAUUGUCUGGAUAGGUCACACUUCAGCCUUUUCUUUUAAUGACUGAGUAGGAUAGCUUCAUUUAGUUGAAAAUUCUGUAUUGAGAGACAUUUAGCUUUCCUUUUUUAUUUUUCUAUCUACUAACGAUGCAGGAAAACAUACCCUUUAAUAUGUUUUUUAUAUACUCAUGCUAUGACUUCUGUAGGACACAUUUCUCAAAGUGGGAUGGCUGGGUCGUUGGGUAGAAGCAUUUCAAAUGUUUUUAGACACCAGCAAAUUGUUCUCCCGAAAUGUUAUACUAAUUUCUGCUUGCAGCAAAAGCAUUUGAGCGAGUCCUUUCUCUCACCCUAAGUUUCUAUCUUCUAAAAUGUUGCCAAUCUGGUAGAUAAAAUAUGAUUAGCUCAUUGUUUUUUUUUUCUUUGUUUUUAUUGAGGUAACAUUGGUUUAU